UCUAAUCUAACAACAUUAAUCAGUUACCAUGGAUUUACUGAGGAUUUGCUCUGUGUCGGGCACUGAGCUCAGUGAUGCUAGCUUGCUCUCUAGUUUGGGAGAUAGGAGGGAUGGAUGUGAGUGGCUUGCUGAGAGUCAACAGUGAGAACUGAAAGUCCUAAGAGACAGGGCAGGAGACCAUUGAAGGGGCUGGAUUUGUCCUGAGCCCUGAAGGGCAGUGGCUAGCAAGUUGGAAUAACAGAGGGGACCGAGGAGAGGGGAGGCAUCAGAGUGGACAGUGCAGGGUCUGUUUGGGAACUACCUGGGAACGUGCUCUGCUGGCUUUUCACCGAAAACCUCGGGACCUUUCAGAGGGUUGAGAAUUUCCAUCAUGUCCUCUAGUCCAAGCAGGUUCAUGGUCCCUCGGUACGGUGGUCUGAGAUGUACUCCUCUAAGGCCAAUUAAUCACCUAACAGAGUUCAUUUGUCGGAAGAGUCAAGAUUAACGAUACCGUGGGGGCGAGAAAGAAGGAAGUUGAACAAAGAAAAUGGUAAAUUGACACAUUCGAAUUCUCUCUUUGGACAUCCCUUAUCACCUGCUUUCCAGCCCGGACAUUUGAGUCAGACAGAAAAAGGUUUGGGUUUACUUUUUUUUUUAUUUUGACACUUUCUAGAUAAGCUUAGCUAGUUAUUCAACCUUUCUGAGCCUUAAUUUACUCAGUUAUACUACAGAGUAAAGAAUAUUGCUUUUAUCCUUGCAAAAUUGCUGAGGAUAAAAGGAGAAAGUGUAGGGAGAAUGCUUGGUGUGUGGAGGGCCCCUGCACACUAGGCGGUCCAUUAGAAGGCUUAUGCCUACAGAGACUUGGCAAUGAUGCGAAUGCAUAAUUGGAAACUAAGUAUCAGAUAUGUAUAAGGGGCUAAGACAAAGCUUCCUGAAAGGAGCAGCUGAUACUCAGAGCCAUCUAAUCAUUAUUUUACAUUGAAAUUUGAUCCCUGUGUUGUCAGAUCUACUUUUUUAAAGAAGUCAAUAAUCUAGAAUUUUAUAUGCCAUCCUUUGAUUUCAAAUAUGACAAGUGUGACAGAGAUUACUAAUUGCCCCCACGCUCCACUUUUCCUUUCUUUCUCUCUGUCCUAGAACCCUCAGGUUUUAUUUAGGCACAUGCUCUUCCCCUUCUCUCUCCCUCCAGCCGCUAGAUAAUAUAUAUUUCAGCUUCUCUUGCAGCUAAGUGUGGCCAUUGAUCAAGUUCUGUUCAAUAGAGAGUGAGAAUGAGUAACGUGUGCAAGUUUGUGGUCAGGUUCUUAGAAGCUCCUUGACUUCCACUUCUUUUUUCUUCUUCCCAUUGGUGGUGAGCCUGUUUCAGCCACGUGGAUGGAGUCAUCACUUUGGGGACAGUUGGGAACAACCAGGUCACGGGCAGUGCAUUUCCACUGUCAGGAGCCCUGAUAUAGCAACCAACAAGGUGAUAAAAGUUGGACUGGGGACAGGUGCAUUCUAUGCCUGUGACAGGUGCUUUCUCUGCCUGCUGAUCCUGGGAACCCUCCUGGAGACAGAGGGAUAAGAAGACAUGGGCAGGUGUUCUGUCUCAAACAAGGAGGUUAUGGAACAGCAUUCUGGAGCAUUCCCCACCAAAAUUACCCUGGUGAACAAUUGUAACACCUUCACGAUGUUGUGCAGCCAUCACCUCUGUCUAGCUCCAAAACGUCGUCAUCACUCGGAAGUAAAAGCCCUUACCCACGAGGCCGUUUUUCCCUCUUCACAACCCCCCCCACCAGUCCCUGGCAA
Molecule: non-coding RNA, 1761 nt
Organism: Leptonychotes weddellii (Weddell seal)
Lineage: Eukaryota; Metazoa; Chordata; Mammalia; Carnivora; Phocidae
Source: RefSeq, a predicted model, not a curated record